AUGAGCAUAACCUGGAUCACAUUGACAAGCUUGAUCUUCUUGGUUAUCAUGUUCUGGAUGCACGUCUGGAGCCCAGUUAUCUCGUCCGAAGAUCCCCAGCAUUUUCCCCGUUGUCCGUUUUGCAAUCCGGCGCUCCCAUCUCCUCCGGCGCACCCCUCUUGUUAUCUUUCAUGA
This 174-nucleotide ribosomal RNA is filed under the name Triticum aestivum (bread wheat). RNAcentral's name for it is "partial small subunit ribosomal RNA". Lineage: Eukaryota; Viridiplantae; Streptophyta; Magnoliopsida; Poales; Poaceae. The record is from RNAcentral.